Molecule: ribosomal RNA, 468 nt
Filed under: uncultured bacterium
Lineage: Bacteria
Description: partial 16S ribosomal RNA
Rfam family: Bacterial small subunit ribosomal RNA
Source: RNAcentral
GACGAACGCUGGCGGCGUGCUUAACACAUGCAAGUCGAACGGAAAGGCCCUGCUUUUGUGGGGUGCUCGAGUGGCGAACGGGUGAGUAACACGUGAGUAACCUGCCCUUGACUUUGGGAUAACUUCAGGAAACUGGGGCUAAUACCGGAUAGGAGCUCCUGCUGCAUGUGGGGGGUGGGAAGGUUUCGGCGGUUGGGGAUGGACUCGGGGCUUAUCAGCUUGUUGGUGGGGUAGUGGCUUACCAAGGCUUUGACGGGUAGCCGGCCUGAGAGGGUGACCGGCCACAUUGGGACUGAGAUACGGCCCAGACUCCUACGGGAGGCAGCAGUGGGGAAUAUUGCACAAUGGGCGGAAGCCUGAUGCAGCAACGCCGCGUGCGGGAUGACGGCCUUCGGGUUGUAAACCGCUUUCGCCUGUGACGAAGCGUGAGUGACGGUAAUGGGUAAAGAAGCACCGGCUAACUACGUG